Molecule: ribosomal RNA, 368 nt
Filed under: Salmonella enterica subsp. enterica serovar Typhimurium
Lineage: Bacteria; Pseudomonadati; Pseudomonadota; Gammaproteobacteria; Enterobacterales; Enterobacteriaceae
Description: bacterial LSU rRNA
Rfam family: Bacterial large subunit ribosomal RNA
Source: RNAcentral
GGCUGUUCGCCAUUUAAAGUGGUACGCGAGCUGGGUUUAGAACGUCGUGAGACAGUUCGGUCCCUAUCUGCCGUGGGCGCUGGAGAACUGAGGGGGGCUGCUCCUAGUACGAGAGGACCGGAGUGGACGCAUCACUGGUGUUCGGGUUGUCAUGCCAAUGGCACUGCCCGGUAGCUAAAUGCGGAAGAGAUAAGUGCUGAAAGCAUCUAAGCACGAAACUUGCCCCGAGAUGAGUUCUCCCUGAGACUUWRRGUCUCCUGAAGGAACGUUGAAGACGACGACGUUGAUAGGCCGGGUGUGUAAGCGCAGCGAUGCGUUGAGCUAACCGGUACUAAUGAACCGUGAGGCUUAACCUUACAACGCCGAAG